RNAcentral lists this ribosomal RNA (495 nucleotides) under uncultured bacterium. RNAcentral describes it as "partial 16S ribosomal RNA". It matches the Rfam family "Bacterial small subunit ribosomal RNA", at positions 30 to 523 of the family's 1533-position model. The record is from RNAcentral.
AUUGAACGCUGGCGGCAUGCCUUACACAUGCAAGUCGAACGGUAACAGGUCUUCGGAUGCUGACGAGUGGCGAACGGGUGAGUAAUACAUCGGAACGUGCCUAGUGGGGGAUAACUACUCGAAAGAGUGGCUAAUACCGCAUGAGAUCUACGGAUGAAAGCAGGGGAUCGCAAGACCUUGUGCUACUAGAGCGGCCGAUGGCAGAUUAGGUAGGUGGUGGGAUAAAAGCUUACCAAGCCGACGAUCUGUAGCUGGUCUGGGAGGACGAUCAGCCACACUGGGACUGAGACACGGCCCAGACUCCUACGGGAGGCAGCAGUGGGGAAUUUUGGACAAUGGGCGCAAGCCUGAUCCAGCAAUGCCGCGUGCAGGAUGAAGGCCUUCGGGUUGUAAACUGCUUUUGUACGGAACGAAAAGCCCCGGGUUAAUACCCUGGGGUCAUGACGGUACCGUAAGAAUAAGCACCGGCUAACUACGUGCCAGCCGCCGCGGUAA